GCGGGGAAUUGUACUUGGUGUAAAAACUACUUAGUUGGUGGCAUUGGUAAUCAUUGAAAUGUUUGUGUCGCGCUAUUUGCUAUAUACAGGUUAAGAGGGUGAUUCCUUUCUCAUGUGUAUAACAGAUAGAUAGGUCAUAGGUAGAAAAUAUAGGUUAAGUACGAGUUCUUAGAACUCAUACUUAUGUGACAUUCUUGACUUAUAGUUAUAUGAAAUGUUUGUGAACCCCUCAGCGAAUGGACGCCAAAGGUCUGACUAGGGUAAGUUCGUAAACUCAUAUAAUUGUGGCCAGGUUAUGAACUCAUAAGUGUGGUUUUAUGAACUGGGUAUAGUUGUGUGAAUGGAGUGUUAAGGAUAAUAGGAAUAGAUAGAAUGUUUAAGCAAAUGAUCAUUAGUGGAGAUUUAGGUUUUCCUAAACCCCUAGCUUUGCUAAACUUCAAUUUUUGACAUCAAG
Molecule: long non-coding RNA, 454 nt
Filed under: Panax ginseng (ginseng)
Lineage: Eukaryota; Viridiplantae; Streptophyta; Magnoliopsida; Apiales; Araliaceae
Description: long non-coding RNA (PGIN_LNC019012)
Source: RNAcentral